RNAcentral lists this small nuclear RNA (190 nucleotides) under Venturia canescens. RNAcentral's name for it is "U2 spliceosomal RNA". It matches the Rfam family "U2 spliceosomal RNA". Rfam says of the family: U2 is a small nuclear RNA (snRNA) component of the spliceosome (involved in pre-mRNA splicing). Complementary binding between U2 snRNA (in an area lying towards the 5' end but 3' to hairpin I) and the branchpoint sequence (BPS) of the intron results the bulging out of an unpaired adenosine, on the BPS, which initiates a nucleophilic attack at the intronic 5' splice site, thus starting the first of two transesterification reactions that mediate splicing. The record is from RNAcentral. Lineage: Eukaryota; Metazoa; Arthropoda; Insecta; Hymenoptera; Ichneumonidae.
AUCGCUUCUCGGCCUAUGGCUAAGAUCAAAGUGUAGUAUCUGUUCUUAUCAGCUUAAUAUCUGAUACGCUCUCCAUUGGAGAGCCAGAAUAUUAAUCUGAUUUUUGAAACUAAUCUGGACCCACGGGCUUGCUCGGGGCGGAUACGAGUUGUACCGGCAUUGCAGUGCCGCCGGUUUCAGCUCAAUAAUA